Molecule: non-coding RNA, 469 nt
Filed under: Dictyocaulus viviparus (bovine lungworm)
Lineage: Eukaryota; Metazoa; Nematoda; Chromadorea; Rhabditida; Metastrongylidae
Description: Eukaryotic large subunit ribosomal RNA
Rfam family: Eukaryotic large subunit ribosomal RNA
Source: Rfam by way of RNAcentral
AAGAAUGAAGGGCUUCGUUGGCUUUUGGAGUGGUAGCAAAUCUCACCUGGGUAGUAUCACGUGGGCACCUCUGCGCCGCUCAACCCCAUUUUUCAUUAAUUUCCUACUUAUUCCAUAUCGAGAAAACUCGAUUUCAGUUUUUUAUCACGUGUGUUAAAAGCAGUAACCUGAUGGCCAUGCGACUCUCGCCGAAAACAGUUCCAGUCAAAUAGUUGUUGGUACUGCACUUCGAUCAUUCGUCAAAGUGUGAUUUAGGUGUUUUAAGUUUGUUCAUAAAGAGCGAAAACCUGUGUUUUAGUGAAAGGUUAGAAGCUUGCUUUAUCUUGAUUUAUAAAGCGAGUACACACAGUGAAAGUAUAGCCUACCGAUUCUUUUCAUCUAGAUGGUUUUUGGCAAGAAGAGUUAGAAAAGUUACUACAUAGAUAACUUGCUUGUAGCUUAUUAAGUGUCAAUAGUGACGUUGCUUUAU